GGUCAGUGUCGCUCUUGCUCCCUCUUGCUCUUUGGCAUGAAAGCCACUUCCGAGUUCCGCUGACGUGCUUUCUCCGCUAGCACCGACCCUUGCAGGGAUCCUGCAGCCCAUGUCUGCUGCCGCUGUAAAUGAAGCUCUCCUGCUGUGUGUUUGUCUGAACUUGGCCUGAUCGGCUCUGCGCUGAAAGCGUGAUAAAGGACUGCAGUUUUGCCUCUACGUCUGUGUUGCAUCCACGACUGCUCUACCUCUACGAGUGUCUUGCCUGCCUGACUGAGUGUUGCCUGGACGGCUGGUCUGCCCUCACGGCUGUGUCUGUCUGCACAGCUGGCUUGCCUGCCCUACUGUGCUUCCCCGCUACCCUACUGCCUGGCGGGUGUUGCUCUUGGCCUGCAUUGGCUGCAUAGCCUCUUGGUAUCACUGUGCCUUUGUGUCACCUUGCCCUUCAGUACGGGACCAUAUUUUAAACAUUGUUAUCGCGGACUGUUCGAUUAAUCUCUGUUUAUGAUUAGUUAUUUUAUUGAGUUAAGUUUGUUUUGUUUAUUUAAUUCAAGAUUAAGUAGACCGUUAGGUUGAUUUCCGUUCCUUUGGUUUAGUUUUCGACCCUGUUGCUCUAAAUUUGUUUUGUUUAUUUCAGUUAAUAUCAGUUAACUGAAAACAGUAUUUCGUAGUAUUCUUGACUUUUUAUUGUCUUAUACUUAUCUUAUGUGUUGGUCUGUGUAUUAAUUUGUGUUGACUGUUUAUCCCAGUAAUUGUGUCUUGUUUGCCCCUCUUUAGUUGCUGAGAGCCAAACGUGUGGUGCUGGUGUCCCCGGUGGUGGCUUCCCCCUUUGUGUGUCGUGCUGUGCUCCCCCCUGAUUUGUGUUCCUUCGUGUGAGUGUGUAGUGAUCACGGGUGCCUUAAUUUACUUUGUUGGGAUCCCUCUCACCCCUCGUCACCUCCACACACUGGUAAGCCUCAGCAUCCCUGAAUUAAGAUUUCCCCUUUUCUUUCCAGUGUGUAUGAUGAUCUUACUGUGUUUCUAAUGAUAUUUUAAUGCCAGAAAUAAAACAUUUGAUCAAUUGGAA
Molecule: long non-coding RNA, 1063 nt
Organism: Trematomus bernacchii (emerald rockcod)
Lineage: Eukaryota; Metazoa; Chordata; Actinopteri; Perciformes; Nototheniidae
Exons: 3
Source: RefSeq, a predicted model, not a curated record